RNAcentral lists this ribosomal RNA (312 nucleotides) under uncultured bacterium. RNAcentral's name for it is "bacterial SSU rRNA". It matches the Rfam family "Bacterial small subunit ribosomal RNA", at positions 28 to 329 of the family's 1533-position model. The record is from RNAcentral.
GACGAACGCUGGCGGCGUGCCUAAUACAUGCAAGUCGAACGAACGGAUAAAGAGCUUGCUCUUUUGAAGUUAGUGGCGGGCGGGUGAGUAACACGUGGGUAACCUGCCUCACAGCUGGGGAUAACAUCGAGAAAUCGAUGCUAAUACCGAAUGUGCUGAACAUCAUAAGAUGUUCAAGUGAAAGACGGUUUCGGCUGUCACUGUGAGAUGGACCCGCGCUGGAUUAGCUAGUUGGUAAGGUAAUGGCUUACCAAGGACGACGAUCCAUAGCCGACCUGAGAGGUGAUCGGCCACAUUGGGACUGAGACACGG